This 243-nucleotide ribosomal RNA is filed under the name uncultured bacterium. RNAcentral's name for it is "partial 16S ribosomal RNA". It matches the Rfam family "Bacterial small subunit ribosomal RNA", at positions 532 to 774 of the family's 1533-position model. The record is from RNAcentral.
UGGCAAGCAUUGUCCGGAUUUAUUGGGCGUAAAGCGAGUGCAGGCGGUUCAAUAAGUCUGAUGUUAAAGCCCUCGGCUCAACCGGAGAAAUUCAUCAGAAACUGUUGAACUUGAGUGCAGAAGAGGAGAGUGGAACUCCAUGUGUAGCGGUGGAAUGCGUAGAUAUAUGGAAGAACACCAGUGGCGAAGGCGGCUCUCUGGUCUGCAACUGACGCUGAGGCUCGAAAGCAUGGGUAGCGAACA